GACGAACGCUGGCGGCGUGCUUAACACAUGCAAGUCGAACGGAAAGGCCCUGCUUUUGUGGGGUGCUCGAGUGGCGAACGGGUGAGUAACACGUGAGUAACCUGCCCUUGACUUUGGGAUAACUUCAGGAAACUGGGGCUAAUACCGGAUAGGAGCUCCUGCUGCAUGGUGGGGGUUGGAAAGUUUCGGCGGUUGGGGAUUGACUCGCGGCUUAUCAGCUUGUUGGUGGGGUAGUGGCUUACCAAGGCUUUGACGGGUAGCCGGCCUGGGAGGGUGACCGGCCACAUUGGGACUGAGAUACGGCCCAGACUCCUACGGGAGGCAGCAGUGGGGAAUAUUGCACAAUGGGCGGAAGCCUGAUGCAGCAACGCCGCGUGCGGGAUGACGGCCUUCGGGUUGUAAACCGCUUUCGCCUGUGACGAAGCGUGAGUGACGGUAAUGGGUAAAGAAGCACCGGCUAACUACGUG
This 468-nucleotide ribosomal RNA is filed under the name uncultured bacterium. Its description in RNAcentral is "partial 16S ribosomal RNA". It matches the Rfam family "Bacterial small subunit ribosomal RNA", at positions 28 to 507 of the family's 1533-position model. The record is from RNAcentral.